Molecule: long non-coding RNA, 486 nt
Filed under: Ictidomys tridecemlineatus (thirteen-lined ground squirrel)
Lineage: Eukaryota; Metazoa; Chordata; Mammalia; Rodentia; Sciuridae
Description: lncRNA (ENSSTOG00000034340.1)
Source: RNAcentral
UCUGCUCAUGAAAACCAGCCCACCUGACCCUGCAGCUCUGCACAGGAGCCCAGCCCUGGACUCCCAGCUCAGCCCACUCAGGGAUCAGGACUGAACACAGCUGCUCACCAUGGAGAGUGUGCUCAGCUGGGUUUUCCUGGUGGCUGUUUUCAAAGGUGUCCAGUGUGAGGUGCAGCUGGUGGAGUCUGGGGGAGGCCUGGUGCAGCCUGGGGGUUCCCUGCGACUCUCCUCUGCAGCCUCUGGAUUCACCUUCAGUAGCUACUGGAUGAGCUGGGUCCACCAUGCUCCAGGGAAGGGGCUGGAGUAGGUUGGCCAAAUUAACCCAAGUGAUGGUAGCACCUACUACCCGGACUCUGUGAAGGGCCAAUUCACCAUCUCCAGAGACAACUCCAAGAACACCCUGUACCUGCAAAUGAGCAGUCUGAGAACUGAGGACACUGCCAUCUAUUACUGUGCCAGAGACACAGUGAGGGGACCUCAGUGUGA